Molecule: ribosomal RNA, 349 nt
Filed under: Glomeromycotina sp.
Lineage: Eukaryota; Fungi; Glomeromycota
Description: partial large subunit ribosomal RNA
Source: RNAcentral
UUGAAAGGGAAACGAUUGAAGUCAGUCAUGCUUGCAGGGAAUCAACAUGGGGGUUUUCUUCCUUGUGCACUUCCUUGCUUGGCAGGUUAGCAUCAAUUUUGAUUGUCAUUAAAGAACUGGGGGAAUGUGGCUUCUUCGGGAGUGUUAUAGACCUUGGUAGAUGUGACGAUCGGGAUUGAGGAUUGCAGCGAAUGCUUCUUGGCUAGUCACCUGGCUUCUGACGGUUACCUUGCUUCCGAUAGCUUGCUAACGGUGGUGAGAUUUGAUUGUCUAGAUGUUAGUGUGAUCAUAAAUUCGCUAAGGAUGCUGACGUAAUGGCUUUAAACGACCCGUCUUGAAACACGGACCA